Non-coding RNA from Podarcis lilfordi (Lilford's wall lizard), 83 nucleotides. The record is from the annotation of a GenBank genome assembly. NCBI's taxonomy places the organism in Eukaryota, Metazoa, Chordata, Lepidosauria, Squamata, Lacertidae.
UCCUGCAUAGCUUGCCGUAUAGUGGUUAGUACUCUGUGUUGUGGCCACAGCAACCUCGGUUCGAAUCCAAGUCAUAGCAGGAA